This 447-nucleotide ribosomal RNA is filed under the name uncultured bacterium. RNAcentral describes it as "bacterial SSU rRNA". It matches the Rfam family "Bacterial small subunit ribosomal RNA", at positions 355 to 825 of the family's 1533-position model. The record is from RNAcentral.
UGGGGAAUUUUGGACAAUGGGGGCAAGCCUGAUCCAGCCAUGCCGCGUGAGUGAUGAAGGCCCUAGGGUUGUAAAGCUCUUUCAACGGUGAAGAUAAUGACGGUAACCGUAGAAGAAGCCCCGGCUAACUUCGUGCCAGCAGCCGCGGUAAUACGAAGGGGGCUAGCGUUGUUCGGAAUUACUGGGCGUAAAGCGCACGUAGGCGGAUACUUAAGUCAGGGGUGAAAUCCCGGGGCUCAACCCCGGAACUGCCUUUGAUACUGGGUAUCUGGAGUCCGGAAGAGGUGAGUGGAAUUCCGAGUGUAGAGGUGAAAUUCGUAGAUAUUCGGAGGAACACCAGUGGCGAAGGCGGCUCACUGGUCCGGCACUGACGCUCAUGCACGAAAGCGUGGGGAGCAAACAGGAUUAGAUACCCUAGUAGUCCCUGAGCGGGCUGGCAAGGCGCAU